This 345-nucleotide long non-coding RNA is filed under the name Pongo abelii (Sumatran orangutan). RNAcentral's name for it is "lincRNA". The record is from RNAcentral. Lineage: Eukaryota; Metazoa; Chordata; Mammalia; Primates; Hominidae.
GGGAAGGGAAGUGCGUCCGUAGGGGAGGGCCCACCUCUCCAGGUUGAAACGACGGCGGUCAGAACCGCCUGAAGUAAAAACGGGUGGCACUGGGGCAGCGGAGGCGUAGCUCCCGAGAGUCUCACAGUUGUGCUCAGUGCCGCCUCACCCCUGGUGGAUCCGCGAUGGCCGCGGAUUCCCCUGGAUUGCCGGCGCUGAGCAGGAGCGCCACCUCUAAUCUCUCCCGAGGCUGGACGCCCGGUGCCAUCCACGCGCGUUGUGUCUUUCCGGGCGGUCCCUCGAAGCUGGCUACCCCGAGGGCUGUUGACUGCAGUGGGAUCUGGUCACUCAGAUGCGGAUAGAGGG